AAUACAGAUACAUGUUUCUCAUACCAUUUCAUGCUUUAUCACCUUCUCAUAUUUCACUAUUUGAUCUCAAGAAUUGUAUCAUUUAAAUCAUAUGCAAAUUAUCAAGUUCAUAUAUGAUCAUAUAACAUGCAUUAUCAAGUAAAAUUUACUUUGUUUAGACAUUUAAAUAUGAUCAUGCAAAUCAUAAAUUCAAACUACAUAAUUUUGCUCUAGAAAUGCUCCUUAGGAUGU
This 231-nucleotide long non-coding RNA is filed under the name Carica papaya (papaya). Its description in RNAcentral is "long non-coding RNA (CPAP_LNC009774)". The record is from RNAcentral. Lineage: Eukaryota; Viridiplantae; Streptophyta; Magnoliopsida; Brassicales; Caricaceae.